UGAAAUCUGGCCUCACGGUCCGAGUUGUAAUUUGUAGAGGAUGCUUUUGGCAAGGUACUUUCCGAGUUCCCUGGAACGGGACGCCAUAGAGGGUGAGAGCCCCGUACGGUUAGACCACCGAGCCUCUGUAAAGCUCCUUCGACGAGUCGAGUAGUUUGGGAAUGCUGCUCUAAAUGGGAGGUGUACGUCUUCUAAAGCUAAAUACCGGCCAGAGACCGAUAGCGCACAAGUAGAGUGAUCGAAAGAUGAAAAGCACUUUGAAAAGAGGGUUAAAAAGUACGUGAAAUUGUUGAAAGGGAAGCAUUCAUGACCAGACUUGGGCUUGGUUGAACAUCCGGCGUUCUCGCCGGUGCACUCUGCCAGUCCAGGCCAGCAUCAGUUUGCCCCGGGGGACAAAGGCGGUGGGAAUGUGGCUCCUCUCGGGGAGUGUUAUAGCCCGCCGUGUAAUGCCCUGGGGUGGACUGAGGAACGCGCUUCGGCACGGAU
This 486-nucleotide ribosomal RNA is filed under the name Neonectria lugdunensis. Its description in RNAcentral is "eukaryotic LSU rRNA". It matches the Rfam family "Eukaryotic large subunit ribosomal RNA", at positions 116 to 612 of the family's 3401-position model. RNAcentral also lists the same sequence under 1 other name. The record is from RNAcentral. Lineage: Eukaryota; Fungi; Ascomycota; Sordariomycetes; Hypocreales; Nectriaceae.